This 450-nucleotide ribosomal RNA is filed under the name uncultured bacterium. RNAcentral describes it as "partial 16S ribosomal RNA". It matches the Rfam family "Bacterial small subunit ribosomal RNA", at positions 354 to 796 of the family's 1533-position model. The record is from RNAcentral.
GUGGGGAAUUUUGGACAAUGGGCGCAAGCCUGAUCCAGCAAUGCCGCGUGCAGGAAGAAGGCCUUCGGGUUGUAAACUGCUUUUGUACGGAACGAAACGGUCCUGGUUAAUACCUGGGGCUAAUGACGGUACCGUAAGAAUAAGCACCGGCUAACUACGUGCCAGCAGCCGCGGUAAUACGUAGGGUGCGAGCGUUAAUCGGAAUUACUGGGCGUAAAGCGUGCGCAGGCGGUGUUGUCAGACAGGCGUGAAAUCCCCGGGCUCAACCUGGGAAUUGCGCUGGUGACUGCAGUGCUGGAGUACGGCAGAGGGGGAUGGAAUUCCGCGUGUAGCAGUGAAAUGCGUAGAUAUGCGGAGGAACACCGAUGGCGAAGGCAGUCCCCUGGGCCUGUACUGACGCUCAUGCACGAAAGCGUGGGGAGCAAACAGGAUUAGAAACCCUUGUAGUCC